This 30-nucleotide non-coding RNA is filed under the name Rattus norvegicus (Norway rat). The record is from RNAcentral. Lineage: Eukaryota; Metazoa; Chordata; Mammalia; Rodentia; Muridae.
UAGUCAAAAAGUACAGGGUACACUUGAGAU